Long non-coding RNA from Anolis carolinensis (green anole), 2965 nucleotides. RefSeq lists it as uncharacterized. NCBI's taxonomy places the organism in Eukaryota, Metazoa, Chordata, Lepidosauria, Squamata, Anolidae. The transcript has 2 exons. The record is from RefSeq and is a predicted model, not a curated record.
UCAAAUUGCAUCUCUCAUCAGCACACACAGUUCCACUGCCAAAGGGAGACCUGCUCUAAAAUUCAGCACCAGGUUUCAGCGCUUUGCUUGAGAUCCAAGUCAUGGAAUCUGGGUCCAGAUGGUGGGUCAUCCUUAUGCAGGGUGUUGGCAGGACACUUAUUUUAAGGGAUUAAGAAACAGGCCUUGUUACUUUGCUGCAGGCUGAGCAUAAAAAUGAAAGCGAGAGAUCAGGCAAGGAGGAGUUUGUUGGGUUUUGUUUCUUCUAAUAAAGGGCUCUAAACAGGCAAGCUAGUUAGGCAGGAGCAGCUGUCAAAUUAGCACAGUGGAGCUGCAUAGUUAAUUGGAGGAGAAGAAUAAAAUGCAUCUGUCAAAAUUAUUUGAGAUAACAUGGACAGGGUGGCUAAGGCUCAUUUGCGGGAGAGAAAAAGGCUUACCACAGAGCUGAUGGUACGACCCUUUGCAUCUAACUACAGGAACACAGCCAGAUGCUUCUCCAAUCACCCUACUCUCUUCCACACAUGGAACUAUGGUGAUUCCACAAGGGGUUUUUUUUGCACAUUGUAGAAGUAAGAAGAGAAUAUCAGCCUCCUCAUCAAGCAAAAAAGGAAGAAAAAAAGCAUAUUGAGACAUAAGGUUGGCUUAUGCUUUCAUAUGCCAACAGGAUACCAGCUGACAUCUGCAUGACUUCUGAAAAGGACAUAAAUCCUUCCUGCUUUGAUCUAUCCACAGUACCUGCCAACAGACCCUCCUAACAAACCAGUGCAACAGAAAAUGUAACCUAGGAACAUAUCAAUACUCUCCAAGAGUGGAUGUUACAUUAUAUUGCUGGGUGCUUUGAUUGGACCUUGGGUGGUUGCUUUUUGUUAGUUGCUUUCCCUGCAUGCUGAACACUGCAAUAUCAAUUAAGCAUGCCACGCUACACCUUUGUGUUGAACGGUCGUGCAUUUGUUUUCCUUCACCAUGUGUGUACUAAUUAAUGUGACUUUUGGCGGACCGACUAUUUCACAGAAAUUAGCAGAAGCAGUGGGAUGAGUGUUUAAGUCUUGACUGCAUUUUUCUACAAGGUGGGGGGGGGGGAAGGGGGAGGUGGUGGAAAAGGCAACUCUAUUUGUUGGUUCAGUGGAAGCAAAUCUUUACAAAAUGAUUAAUUUACAAGGAAGGCACCAUAUUCUGCCACUUCCCAAGCUCUCCAAGAUAAAUAAUACAGACAUAGUAAAGGCCAACUGUGUUGUAUUAAUAAUUGAUAUUUCCCUGCUUCGUGGCCCGCCUGUAUUUAUUGUACUUUGCCCGAGUCCGGUUAGAGAGCUGCACAAAUAAUCGAUAGGCCUUGCUACAUUUAGAUCAGCAUUUUUCUUCCUUUCCCUCCAUCCCCCAUUAAAUUUAUUAGAACCUCUGUCAGUUUAGUAGUUUCAACAGGUAUCGUUGACUCAACAUUGAGAAUCAAGAAAGCUGGAGGGAAGAAUAAUUCAUUGUAAAAACUAAGGGAAUAGGGAUUGGUCACCAACUCAGAAACCAGGGCAUGGUUUCAGACAGGAAGCUGCCUGAAAGUAUUUAACUACAUCUGCCCAGGACCUAAGUGUCCAUUGGUGUAGGGCAGUGGUUCUCAAGCUGUGGAUCCCCAGAUGUUACACCUUAGUUACUUCUAGACUGGAUUACUGUAAUGCGCUCUACGUGGGGCUGCCUUUGAAGACGGCUCAGAAAAUACAGCUGGUACAGAGAUCUGAUUAUUAUUAUUAUUAUUAUUAUUAUUAUUAUUAUUAUUAGCGUUGCUGUGGCUUAUGGGAAUCAUUUGUUGUCCAGGUGGAAUAGCAGUGAAUAGCUUUGCAGCCUCAAAGCCUGGCCGUUUUCUGGAGUAGCUGGAGUAGCACCCUCAAUCAAAAAGCGGCUUUGAAGCCUGGCUACUCUCUUUGUAGGGGAAUCAUUGUUUGGCCAGCUUGAAUUGCACUGAAUAGUCUUGCAGCUUAAAAGCCUGGCUGCUUUCUACAUAGGGCAUCCUUAUAAUAAUAAAUAAUAAUAACUUUAUUUUUAUACCCCGCCCCAUCUCCCCAGUGGGGACUCGGAGCAGCUUACAUGGGGACCAAGCCUGAAACAUACAGCAAUAAAACGAUAAAACAAUUAUUCCAACAGUGAAAUCAAUAUCAAUAAAACCAUCAUAAAAAUCAACAUACAGCAUAAAAUGUUAAAAACAGGCGACUAAAACAAGGAUCUGGGCCAAAGUGUAGAAUAUAUCAAAAUGGGAGAGGUAAUUUCUCAGUCAAAGUAAUCCAUAAAGUGCAAAGUAAUAGUGGCAGAAAAUCCUGUAGUUGGAUGGGCAGAUAGUUCAACCUAGUAAUUAACCGUCUAAGGCCUUUUGGAAGAGCCAGGUUUUUAGGCUCUUCCGGAAGGAGAGGAGGGUAGGGGCCUGCCUGAUCUCCCUGGGGAGCGAGUUCCAAAGUCGGGGGGCCACGAUGGAGAAGGCCCUCUCUCUCGUCCCCACCAACCGCAACAUGACUCACUCCUCCAUUCACAUCUUUGGAAUCAGGGCUGUCACAAUACAUUAUCUUGGACUAGUAGCCUGCUUUUCUGCCUCAGUUUCCCCAUCUGUAGAAAGGCAUUGACAAUUCCCAGCUGGGUGAACAAAACCAACUGAGACUCUAUUGAGACUAAAGCCAGUGGGACUCUUCAUCACAUAAACAGAAAGUGCUAUUGAAGAGAGGCUUCAUUGCUAGGAGCUAAGAGAGUGUUAGUAUUUCUUGCGCUACCGUUAUUAAUGAUCAUCAUCAUAUCACAUUCUCCAGUGUAUUAUGACGUACGAGGUUCACUAAGUGGUUUCAAUCACCCGGGAAGGGUGUAAUGGCUUAGUAAUGCAUUCCCUGUUGUGUCUUUCAACUUUUAUGCAACAGCAAUGAAAAUAUAAAAUGUGUUUAAUUAAAGAAGGUGGCUUGCUUUAUUGAACAAAUGUAUUGAAUAAAUAAAAGGAAUCAUU